Long non-coding RNA from Oncorhynchus keta (chum salmon), 301 nucleotides. RefSeq lists it as uncharacterized. The record is from RefSeq and is a predicted model, not a curated record. NCBI's taxonomy places the organism in Eukaryota, Metazoa, Chordata, Actinopteri, Salmoniformes, Salmonidae. The transcript has 3 exons.
AGAUAUGUAUAGGGGGAAGGAGACAGGGAUACUGGAGUGAUGGAGGUAGAUAUGUAUAGGGGGAAGGUGACAGGGAUACUGGAGUGAUGGAGGUAGAUAUGUAUAGGGGGAAGGUGACAGGGAUACUGGAGUGAUGGAGGUAGAUAUGUAUAGGGGGAAGGAGACAGGGAUACUGGAGUGAUGGAGGUAGAUAUGUAUAGGGGGAAGGUGACAGGGAUACUGGAGUGAUGGAGGUAGAUAUGUAUAGGGGGAAGGAGACAGGGAUACUGGAGUGAUGGAGGUAGAUAUGUAAAGGGGGAAG